This 276-nucleotide ribosomal RNA is filed under the name Clostridioides difficile. Its description in RNAcentral is "partial 23S ribosomal RNA". It matches the Rfam family "Bacterial large subunit ribosomal RNA", at positions 1632 to 1919 of the family's 2925-position model. The record is from RNAcentral. Lineage: Bacteria; Bacillati; Bacillota; Clostridia; Peptostreptococcales; Peptostreptococcaceae.
UUAAAGGUACCCGUACCGCAAACCGACACAGGGGGGUGAGGAGAGUAUCCUAAGGCCAGCGAGAGAACUGUUGUUAAGGAACUCGGCAAAAUGACCCCGUAACUUAGGGAUAAGGGGUGCCACCAUCCGGUGGCCGCAGAGAAUAGGCUCAAGCGACUGUUUACCAAAAACAUAGGUUUCUGCUAAGUCGCAAGACGAUGUAUAGGAGCUGACGCCUGCCCGGUGCUGGAAGGUUAAGGGGAUCUGUUAGAGCAAUCGAAGCAGUGAACUUAAGCC